UAUGAACGCUGGCGGCGUGCCUAAUACAUGCAAGUCGAGCGAACAGAUGAGGAGCUUGCUCCUCUGACGUUAGCGGCGGACGGGUGAGUAACACGUGGAUAACCUACCUAUAAGACUGGGAUAAAUUCGGGAAACCGGAGCUAAUACCGGAUAAUAUAUUGAACCGCAUGGUUCAAUAGUGAAAGACGGUUUUGCUGUCACUUAUAGAUGGAUCCUCGCCGCAUUAGCUAGUUGGUAAGGUAACGGCUUACCAAGGCAACGAUGCGUAGCCGACCUGAGAGGGUGAUCGGCCACACUGGAACUGAGACACGGUCCAGACUCCUACGGGAGGCAGCAGUAGGGAAUCUUCCGCAAUGGGCGAAAGCCUGACGGAGCAACGCCGCGUGAGUGAUGAAGGUCUUCGGAUCGUAAAACUCUGUUAUUAGGGAAGAACAAAUGUGUAAGUAACUAUGCACGUCUUGACGGUACCUAAUCAGAAAGCCACGGCUAACUACGUG
This 497-nucleotide ribosomal RNA is filed under the name uncultured bacterium. RNAcentral's name for it is "partial 16S ribosomal RNA". It matches the Rfam family "Bacterial small subunit ribosomal RNA", at positions 29 to 507 of the family's 1533-position model. The record is from RNAcentral.